GGGCAAGCCCACCUCAAGCCUCCCUUUAUAAAAGCUUCACAUUCAGAUAAGUAAAACCGCGUUCUUUGUUUCGGAACUGUGGGAGGCAGAGUGGUCCACAAAGAUGUCCACGUCUUAAUCCCAGGAACCCAUGAAUAUGUUGUGUGAUGUGGCAAAGGGGGCUUUUCAGAUGUCAUUAAGGGUUACACUUUAAAAUGGAUUGUCCUGGAUUGUCCAGGCAGGCCCAGUCUAAUCGCAUGAGCCCUUGAAAGCAGAGAACUUUCUCCAACUGGAAGCAGAGGAGAGCGACAGCAGAUGGAGUCAGAGAGGUUCCAAGAACGAGAAGGAUUCGCUGUGCCUUUCCCAUCUCUAAGAUGCACAGACUGUGUGCAAGGACCAGAGAGAGGCCUCCUGGAGCUCAGGGAGGCCCCAGCUGACAGCCACAAGGAAACGGGGACCUCAGCCUUACAACCACGGGGAACUGGGUGCUGCAAAUGGCCUGGAAGAGCUUGACAGGGAAUUUUCCCCUGAGCCUCCCAGUGAGAGCCCAGCUGGUCGACAUCUUGAUUUCAGCCCUUGAGACCAGAGACAGAGAAAUCAAUGGAGCCGACCCAGCCUUCUGACCACAGACCUGUGAGAUGAUCACUGGGACAUCUCGCCUCUGUGCAUGGGCUCCCACCGGGUCUCCAUUCUCCUCCACCCACUUCCGUCUUCCCAACCAGGAAUCCAUGGAAGAUGGUGGGAUCCCAUGGUCCCAGCUACAGGAUGUGGGGCAAAGAAAUGAAAGCAGGCCCUUCCUCUCCCUUCCAGAAUGAACCGCUCGCUCCCUUUCCUUCCUGGCUUACUGACUUUCACAAACAUUCAGGAAUUCGGGAAUGGAAGGAAUCAGAUGUAAGUCCGUCUGGAGGUGGGAGACCAGUGCUACCGUGUUAUUCUCUGGGGGUUCGGAAUGACCAAGGCCAGUGCAGGCUGACUCAUGAAAGCUACUUUAACAAAGUCAGCGAUCAGAGCAGCUGUGGAGAACCUGCAAAUAAAUCAAGGCUCAGGGAAGCCUGCUGCACUGAAAACCGCAGGAAGAAAGAGCAGAGAUUUGAGCGAUGGUUAUCCAUAAGACUUUCUCCCAGAACCUAAUGUUCCGGAAAAAUCUUCCUAAUUAGUCAUUAAUUGGUCCAUUAUCAGCACCACGUGCCAAGGAUUAAGUGGGUGAUUCCCACCGUUUCUAGAGAGCAAGGUGCUGCAUCUGAUCCGCCAGGCAGGGCGCUCCUUUGCUCGUGUAACGGCUGCAGCCAGCUCCCGCCAGCUCUGCAGAAACAACGCUGGUCCCCAUCUUUGAAGCAGAGUCCUGAGCCCUUCCCCCACCACGCGGAGCAACAUUUCUAUCCUUCAGGCUGACUUUCAUUUCCCGCUUGUUGGGUAGACAGUUUUUUGAGAAUGGAUUUUUCCUCCCAAAGAACGCUUUGUUGUGUAAGUCUCAUUCUCCUGCUCAAGGCCUUCCUGUUUCCGACCUCUUGGUCAUUCAAGGAGACGGCAGAUGUUUUAGAGCCGAGGGAAUGGUGGUACAUGGAAAGAGAGAGAGAGAUGGCUCUGGCAAUCGGAAGUCUGAGGUCUGAAGCCCAGUUUUCCACCUUGGACAUAUUGGCUUCAUCUGUAGCAGUGU
Molecule: long non-coding RNA, 1636 nt
Filed under: Equus caballus (horse)
Lineage: Eukaryota; Metazoa; Chordata; Mammalia; Perissodactyla; Equidae
Description: lncRNA (ENSECAG00000047097.1)
Source: RNAcentral